GUUUGAUCCUGGCUCAGGAUGAACGCUAGCGGCAGGCUUAACACAUGCAAGUCGAGGGGUAUAGUUCUUCGGAAUUAGAGACCGGCGCACGGGUGCGUAACGCGUAUGCAAUCUACCUUUCACAGAGGGAUAGCCCAGAGAAAUUUGGAUUAAUACCUCAUAGUAUAGUACAAUCGCAUGAUUGAACUAUUAAAGUCACAACGGUGAAAGAUGAGCAUGCGUCCCAUUAGCUAGUUGGUAAGGUAACGGCUUACCAAGGCUACGAUGGGUAGGGGUCCUGAGAGGGAGAUCCCCCACACUGGUACUGAGACACGGACCAGACUCCUACGGGAGGCAGCAGUGAGGAAUAUUGGACAAUGGGCGCAAGCCUGAUCCAGCCAUGCCGCGUGCAGGAUGACGGUCCUAUGGAUUGUAAACUGCUUUUGCACAGGAAGAAACAACGCUACGUGUAGCGUCUUGACGGUACUGUGAGAAUAAGGAUCGGCUAACUCCGUGCCAGCAGCCGCGGUAAUACGGAGGAUCCAAGCGUUAUCCGGAAUCAUUGGGUUUAAAGGGUCCGUAGGCGGUUUAGUAAGUCAGUGGUGGAAGCCCAUCGCUCAACGGUGGAACGGCCAUUGAUACUGCUAGACUUGAAUUAUUAGGAAGUAACUAGAAUAUGUAGUGUAGCGGUGAAAUGCUUAGAGAUUACAUGGAAUACCAAUUGCGAAGGCAGGUUACUACUAAUGGAUUGACGCUGAUGGACGAAAGCGUGGGUAGCGAACAGGAUUAGAUACCCUGGUAGUCCACGCCGUAAACGAUGGAUACUAGCUGUUGGGAGCGAUCUCAGUGGCUAAGCGAAAGUGAUAAGUAUCCCACCUGGGGAGUACGUUCGCAAGAAUGAAACUCAAAGGAAUUGACG
RNAcentral lists this ribosomal RNA (898 nucleotides) under uncultured bacterium. RNAcentral's name for it is "bacterial SSU rRNA". It matches the Rfam family "Bacterial small subunit ribosomal RNA", at positions 11 to 915 of the family's 1533-position model. The record is from RNAcentral.